Molecule: ribosomal RNA, 440 nt
Filed under: uncultured bacterium
Lineage: Bacteria
Description: partial 16S ribosomal RNA
Rfam family: Bacterial small subunit ribosomal RNA
Source: RNAcentral
CCUACGGGUGGCAGCAGUAGGGAAUUUUGCGCAAUGGGCGAAAGCCUGACGCAGCAACGCCGCGUGAUCGAGACGCCCUUCGGGGUGUAAAGAUCUGUCAGUGGGGACGAAACUUGACGGUACCCACAGAGGAAGCACCGGCUAACUCCGUGCCAGCAGCCGCGGUAAUACGGGGGGUGCAAGCGUUGUCCGGAAUCAUUGGGCGUAAAGAGUUCGUAGGCGGCACGUAAAGUCUGGUGUUAAAGGCAGAGGCUCAACUUCUGUACGGCACUGGAUACUUGCGAGCUAGAAUGCGGUAGAGGUAAAGGGAAUUCCUGGUGUAGCGGUGAAAUGCUUAGAGAUCAUACAGAACACCGAUUGCGAAGGCAGCUUACCAAGCUACUUCUGACGUUGAGGCACGAAAGCGUGGGGAGCAAACAGGAUUAGAUACCCGAGUAGUC